RNAcentral lists this ribosomal RNA (253 nucleotides) under uncultured bacterium. RNAcentral's name for it is "partial 16S ribosomal RNA". It matches the Rfam family "Bacterial small subunit ribosomal RNA", at positions 524 to 776 of the family's 1533-position model. The record is from RNAcentral.
UACAGAGGGGGCAAGCGUUGUUCGGAAUUACUGGGCGUAAAGGGCGCGUAGGUGGCCUUCUAAGUUGAACGUGAAAUCCCUGGGCUCAACCCAGGAACUGCGUCCAAGACUGGGAGGCUUGAAUCCGGGAGAGGGAUGCGGAAUUCCAGGUGUAGCGGUGAAAUGCGUAGAUAUCUGGAGGAGCACCGGUGGCGAAGGCGGCAUCCUGGACCGGUAUUGACACUGAGGCGCGAAAGCCAGGGGAGCAAACGGG